UACGUAGGGUGCGAGCGUUGUCCGGAAUUACUGGGCGUAAAGAGCUCGUAGGUGGUUUGUCGCGUCGUCCGUGAAAACUCACAACUCAAUUGUGGGCGUGCGGGCGAUACGGGCAGACUGGAGUACUGCAGGGGAGACUGGAAUUCCUGGUGUAGCGGUGGAAUGCGCAGAUAUCAGGAGGAACACCGGUGGCGAAGGCGGAUCUCUGGGCCAUUACUGACGCUGAGGAGCGAAAGCGUGGGGAGCGAACAGG
RNAcentral lists this ribosomal RNA (253 nucleotides) under uncultured bacterium. RNAcentral's name for it is "partial 16S ribosomal RNA". It matches the Rfam family "Bacterial small subunit ribosomal RNA", at positions 524 to 776 of the family's 1533-position model. The record is from RNAcentral.